This 255-nucleotide unclassified non-coding RNA is filed under the name uncultured fungus. RNAcentral describes it as "partial contains small subunit ribosomal RNA, internal transcribed spacer 1, and 5.8S ribosomal RNA". The stretch from base 1 to 73 matches the Rfam family "Eukaryotic small subunit ribosomal RNA", at positions 1759 to 1831 of the family's 1831-position model. Lineage: Eukaryota; Fungi. The record is from RNAcentral.
GCAAACUUGGUCAUUUAGAGGAAGUAAAAGUUGUAACAAGGUUUCCGUAGGUGAACCUGCGGAAGGAUCAUUAACAAAUCCAAUAAUUGCUGGAGAACACUUGUUCUUUCUGCAAAUAUUAAUCCGUUGGCCGCUCUUAGAGCAGCUGGCUGUGAUAUAAAUGCGUGUUAUGUUGACAGUGUGUGUAUGUACAAGUUAAUAUUGACAACUUUUAACAAUGGAUCUCUAGGCUCUUGCAUCGAUGAAGAACGCAGC